This 337-nucleotide unclassified non-coding RNA is filed under the name soil metagenome. RNAcentral describes it as "partial contains 5.8S ribosomal RNA, internal transcribed spacer 2, and large subunit ribosomal RNA". The stretch from base 1 to 120 matches the Rfam family "5.8S ribosomal RNA", at positions 35 to 154 of the family's 154-position model. The record is from RNAcentral.
GAUGAAGAACGCAGCGAAAUGCGAUAAGUAGUGUGAAUUGCAGAAUUCAGUGAAUCAUCGAAUCUUUGAACGCACAUUGCGCCCCUUGGUAUUCCAUGGGGCAUGCCUGUUCGAGCUUCAUUUGUACCUUCAAGCUCUGCUUGGUGUUGGGUGUUUGUCUCGCCUUUGCGUGUAGACUCGCCUUAAAACCAUUGGCAGCCGGCGUAUUGAUUUCGGAGCGCAGUACAUCUCGCGCUUUGCACUCAGAACGACGACGUCCAAAAGUACAUUUUUACACUCUUGACCUCGGAUCAGGUAGGGAUACCCGCUGAACUUAAGCAUAUCAAUAAGCGGAGGA